Oncorhynchus gorbuscha (pink salmon) is the source of this 357-nucleotide long non-coding RNA. RefSeq lists it as uncharacterized. The record is from RefSeq and is a predicted model, not a curated record. NCBI's taxonomy places the organism in Eukaryota, Metazoa, Chordata, Actinopteri, Salmoniformes, Salmonidae. The transcript is spliced from 3 exons.
GCAGACGUCGGAGCAUGCUCUGUUCUCCAGUUCAGUAGUGGACAUCUUCACCCAGCUCAACCAGAGCUUUGAGAUCAUCAGGAAACUAGACUGUCCAGACCUCAAGGUCCAGGCCCACUACAACAGACGCUUCGCCAAGACCAUCACCAAGGUGCUGAUGCAGUACUGUGCUAUCCUGUCCAAGGAGUUCCCCUCCUACUGCCAGAAGGAGAAGAUACCCUGUGUGUUGAUGAAUAACAUACAGCAGAUGCGGGUCUUGUUGGAGAAGAUGUUUGAGUGCAUGGGGGCUAAACAGGUGAGAAUCAAUACUUUGAGACGUACAUUUCACAUCACAUAUUGUGCUGGGGUGGGUAACUC